GGGAGGGAGUUCUCCCAGUGGAUGCAAACACAAACAAAUAUUUUUUUAAACUAAUUCAGUCAACACAAGAUUUCUUUUAGUAGAAAACAACUUCAAAACUUUCAACAAUGGAUC
RNAcentral lists this ribosomal RNA (114 nucleotides) under Nakaseomyces glabratus. RNAcentral describes it as "[Candida] glabrata partial 5.8S ribosomal RNA". The record is from RNAcentral. Lineage: Eukaryota; Fungi; Ascomycota; Saccharomycetes; Saccharomycetales; Saccharomycetaceae.